CUAACUGCCCUGGCAAGGACAAGAAAACUAAAGACUUGGUACACCUGCCUCCAUGAAGGAGGGAUCAAGAGAAGCCACUGUUUGGUUGUGAGGGACCAGGUUAGAGGCCUUUCUCCAGAUCAUGAGACUACACGUCUCAUGCAGUCUCCCUAGGCAGUCUGCAGAAGAAACACAAAGACUGCCACUGCUACAGGACUGGAGAGUGUGGUGACCGGGUAAUUAUAGGGUCAGAAAUGCAUUGCAGCUUCGACAGCAACUUACGAAAAAACAGCAGCAAGACCUUUUAUUUUCCCAGCUUCUCUACUUCAUGCUUGAAUA
Long non-coding RNA from Harpia harpyja (harpy eagle), 318 nucleotides. RefSeq lists it as uncharacterized. The record is from RefSeq and is a predicted model, not a curated record. Lineage: Eukaryota; Metazoa; Chordata; Aves; Accipitriformes; Accipitridae. The transcript is spliced from 3 exons.